UGCCAGCAGCCGCGGUAAUACGGAGGGGGUUAGCGUUGUCCGGAUUUACUGGGCUUAAAGAGUUCGUAGGUGGUUAAAAAAGUUGGUAGUGAAAUCCCAGAGCUUAACUCUGGAACUGCUAUCAAAACUUUUUAGCUAGAGUAUGAUAGAGGAAAGCAGAAUUUCUAGUGUAGAGGUGAAAUUCGUAGAUAUUAGAAAGAAUACCGAUUGCGAAGGCAGCUUUCUGGAUCAUUACUGACGCUGAGGAACGAAAGCAUGGGUAGCGAAGAGGAUUAGAUA
This 279-nucleotide ribosomal RNA is filed under the name uncultured bacterium. Its description in RNAcentral is "partial 16S ribosomal RNA". It matches the Rfam family "Bacterial small subunit ribosomal RNA", at positions 506 to 784 of the family's 1533-position model. The record is from RNAcentral.